GGAAGGGUACGGCUCAGUGGUAGAGUAUGUGCUCAGCAUGCACAAGGUCCUGGGUUCAAUCCCCAGCACCUCCA
This 74-nucleotide transfer RNA is filed under the name Camelus bactrianus (Bactrian camel). It matches the Rfam family "tRNA". From Rfam's summary of the family: Transfer RNA (tRNA) molecules are approximately 80 nucleotides in length. Lineage: Eukaryota; Metazoa; Chordata; Mammalia; Artiodactyla; Camelidae. The record is from Rfam by way of RNAcentral. RNAcentral also lists the same sequence under 1 other name.